GAUGAACGCUGGCGGCGUGCCUAAUACAUGCAAGUCGAGCGAACGGACGAGAAGCUUGCUUCUCUGAUGUUAGCGGCGGACGGGUGAGUAACACGUGGAUAACCUACCUAUAAGACUGGGAUAACUUCGGGAAACCGGAGCUAAUACCGGAUAAUAUUUUGAACCGCAUGGUUCAAAAGUGAAAGACGGUCUUGCUGUCACUUAUAGAUGGAUCCGCGCUGCAUUAGCUAGUUGGUAAGGUAACGGCUUACCAAGGCAACGAUGCAUAGCCGACCUGAGAGGGUGAUCGGCCACACUGGAACUGAGACACGGUCCAGACUCCUACGGGAGGCAGCAGUAGGGAAUCUUCCGCAAUGGGCGAAAGCCUGACGGAGCAACGCCGCGUGAGUGAUGAAGGUCUUCGGAUCGUAAAACUUUGUUAUUAGGGAAGAACAUAUGUGUAAGUAACUGUGCACAUCUUGACGGUACCUAAUCAGAAAGCCACGGCUAACUACGUG
Molecule: ribosomal RNA, 497 nt
Filed under: uncultured bacterium
Lineage: Bacteria
Description: partial 16S ribosomal RNA
Rfam family: Bacterial small subunit ribosomal RNA
Source: RNAcentral